RNAcentral lists this long non-coding RNA (274 nucleotides) under Vitis vinifera (wine grape). Its description in RNAcentral is "long non-coding RNA (VVIN_LNC001049)". Lineage: Eukaryota; Viridiplantae; Streptophyta; Magnoliopsida; Vitales; Vitaceae. The record is from RNAcentral.
CCAAAUCAUCUCUUUGCAUCUCGAAAAAGCACAAGCUAUAUAUUCAACAUUUAAUUUGUUGAUAUCAUAUUUUUUAGUAAAUGGUCAAAUAAAAUGAUGAAUGAAAUUAUUCUUUGAUUAGAUUGAAUACAAUAAGAGUUUCUUAUUUACCUCAUUUCCAAAUUGACCAACCAAUUUAGCAUUUGGGUCUAAUGUAGCAAAUACGUCAUGGACUGCUUGAAUUAAAUCCGAAUCACUACCAACUCUAAGCCUAUAUUGAAACCUUGGAUUCAAG